UCUUGCUGGAUUUGUUAUUUGGUGUGGAAGUCUUGAGUUCGUUGGCCGAACUUCGAAAUGUAAUCAAGGUUAUAAAAUGGAUCUCAACUUUAUUGAUGAAGAGCUCUUGAGUAUGUGAUGGCUGUUAUACAGCAUGUAAAGUGUAAGGAAAUGUAAAGGAAGUUGGUGAUGUUACGGAAGACUUUUCAGCAGCCUUCGAUUGAAAGGGAUUCUGGAUUAAGUCUGAAUCGAAAGUAAAAACAACUUAUUUUGAAGACUAAAAUUGUGGUUUUUAGUUAUGUGUGUCUUAACCUGUUGUGUUUGAAAGUUUGGU
Long non-coding RNA from Helianthus annuus (common sunflower), 313 nucleotides. RefSeq lists it as uncharacterized. NCBI's taxonomy places the organism in Eukaryota, Viridiplantae, Streptophyta, Magnoliopsida, Asterales, Asteraceae. The record is from RefSeq and is a predicted model, not a curated record. The transcript is spliced from 3 exons.